GAUGAACGCUGGCGGCGUGCCUAAUACAUGCAAGUCGAGCGAACAGACGAGGAGCUUGCUCCUCUGACGUUAGCGGCGGACGGGUGAGUAACACGUGGAUAACCUACCUAUAAGACUGGGAUAACUUCGGGAAACCGGAGCUAAUACCGGAUAAUAUAUUGAACCGCAUGGUUCAAUAGUGAAAGACGGUUUUGCUGUCACUUAUAGAUGGAUCCGCGCCGCAUUAGCUAGUUGGUAAGGUAACGGCUUACCAAGGCAACGAUGCGUGGCCGACCUGAGAGGGUGAUUGGCCACACUGGAACUGAGACACGGUCCAGACUCCUACGGGAGGCAGCAGUAGGGAAUCUUCCGCAAUGGGCGAAAGCCUGACGGAGCAACGCCGCGUGAGUGAUGAAGGUCUUCGGAUCGUAAAACUCUGUUAUUAGGGAAGAACAAAUGUGUAAGUAACUAUGCACGUCUUGACGGUACCUAAUCAGAAAGCCACGGCUAACUACGUG
This 497-nucleotide ribosomal RNA is filed under the name uncultured bacterium. RNAcentral's name for it is "partial 16S ribosomal RNA". It matches the Rfam family "Bacterial small subunit ribosomal RNA", at positions 28 to 507 of the family's 1533-position model. The record is from RNAcentral.